Molecule: small RNA, 188 nt
Filed under: Crocodylus porosus (Australian saltwater crocodile)
Lineage: Eukaryota; Metazoa; Chordata; Crocodylia; Crocodylidae
Description: TUC338 (ENSCPRG00005013317.1)
Source: RNAcentral
UUCUCAGCUCUAGAAACAGAAGUCCUUCAUUUAUUCACAGAAUAGAUACAGCCUAGGCAAUGGCACCAUGGGUUUUCCUUGCACUGACUUGCCACUCAACCUCAGCCGCAUACUGGAGGGGGCCCUUUCUAGGGAGCUGAAUGAAUGGGAGUUUUAUUUCCAUGGAUCCUCCAGUCUCAUACCUUUCU